CUGGCGGCGUGCUUAAUACAUGCAAGUCAACUUGACUUUAGAUAGCAAUAUCGAAAAGUAGGGUGGCGCACGGGUGCGUAACGCGUAGGUAAUCUGCCCUGAGGUCUGACAUAACCCGUCGAAAGGCGGGCUAACAUCAGAUGAUAUAUAGUCACGACAUCGUGGAAAUAUCAAAUCUUCGGAGCCUUGGGAUGAGCCUGCGUCUGAUUAGGUAGUUGGCGGAGUAAUAGCCCACCAAGCCUACGAUCAGUAGCUGGUCUGAGAGGAUGAUCAGCCACACUGGAACUGAGACACGGUCCAGACUCCUACGGGAGGCAGCAGUAAGGAAUAUUGCUCAAUGGGGGGAAACCCUGAAGCAGCAACGCCGCGUGAAGGAUGAAAUACUUUGUAUGUAAACUUCUGUAAGAUGGGAAAAAUAUUCUCCUCGGGAGAAUUGAUUGUACCAUCAGAGUAAGCCCCGGCUAACUACGUG
This 472-nucleotide ribosomal RNA is filed under the name uncultured bacterium. RNAcentral's name for it is "bacterial SSU rRNA". It matches the Rfam family "Bacterial small subunit ribosomal RNA", at positions 36 to 507 of the family's 1533-position model. The record is from RNAcentral.